GUUGACGAGCAAUAUAAUCGGCUUUGAUCGAGGAAAUAGACUGUAAAAGCUCAGGUAAAGGCAAUAGCUUAGCGACCUCACGAACGGAGGCUUCCUUCGCCUCAACGCCGAGAUCAUCAGCCAUCAUUUUCGCAACUAUUUACAAAUCUCACAGCUAAAUUCACUGAGAAAAUUUUGAAUGUUUGAAUUGAAAUUGAAGAUGGAGUAUAUAGGGAUCUCGAAGGAAAAGACCU
This 233-nucleotide unclassified non-coding RNA is filed under the name Hevea brasiliensis (rubber tree). Lineage: Eukaryota; Viridiplantae; Streptophyta; Magnoliopsida; Malpighiales; Euphorbiaceae. The record is from RNAcentral.